RNAcentral lists this transfer RNA (70 nucleotides) under Neocallimastix californiae. RNAcentral's name for it is "tRNA-OTHER". RNAcentral also lists the same sequence under 2 other names. The record is from RNAcentral. Lineage: Eukaryota; Fungi; Neocallimastigomycota; Neocallimastigomycetes; Neocallimastigales; Neocallimastigaceae.
GCCAUGUUGGUCCAGUCGGUUAGGACGAUACAGGUUACUGUAGAGGGCGGUUCGAAUCCUCAGCAUGGCA